CCUACGGGAGGCAGCAGUGAGGAAUAUUGGUCAAUGGCCGGAAGGCUGAACCAGCCAUGCCGCGUGAAGGUCAGUGCCCUAUGGGCGUUAAACUUCUUUUGUGCGGGAGCAAUAAUGGUCACGUGUGGCCAGACGAGAGUACCGUACGAAUAAGCAUCGGCUAACUCCGUGCCAGCAGCCGCGGUAAUACGGGGGAUGCAAGCGUUAUCCGGAUUUAUUGGGUGUAAAGGGGGCGUAGGCGGGGAGGUAAGUCAGCGGUGAAAUGCCUCCGGGCAACGGGGUGAAGUGCCAUUGAUACUGCCGUGCUGGAAUGCGGAUGCCGUGGGAGGAAUGUGUGGUGUAGCGGUGAAAUGCAUAGAUAUCACACAGAACGCCGAUUGCGAAGGCAUCUCACGAAUCCGCGAUUGACGCUGAUGCACGAAAGCGUGGGUAUCAAACAGGAUUAGAUACCCCGGUAGUC
Molecule: ribosomal RNA, 460 nt
Filed under: uncultured bacterium
Lineage: Bacteria
Description: partial 16S ribosomal RNA
Rfam family: Bacterial small subunit ribosomal RNA
Source: RNAcentral